AAAUGUAUGACUGAAUGAUAAAGCACACAUACAGUUGUGUAUGAAACACACAUACAAAAAAUGAUUUACUUACUGCCAACAUCCAGUUUGCUGUUGUUGCCGAGAGGGAAUCCCAGAGAAACAAACUAUUAUUGAGUGUUUGAUGAGGGAAAAUUAACUUCUUAACAUUGUGAUAUUUCUCAGUUCUGCUCUUCUGUCAGUGGCUGUGUCACAUUAGAGAGGAAACCGCUUUGAAUGUGUGUGUCCCUCCCCUGUGACUGAAGCUCAAUAUCAGAGCGUCUGUCCGACUGUGAAUCCCACAUCUCUGUCCUUCAGCUUCACUCAUUCCCAGUAAAGAUGACGACACACACACUGAUCAUCUGCUCUCUGCUGCUGCUCCUCAACGAGUGUAGAGGACAGAUCACCAUCACUCAGAGUCCCUCAAUAACAGCAGAACAACCAGGAGGAACUGUGAAUAUCAAAUGUAAAACCAGCAGAGAUGUGUACAAUGGAGAUUUCUUAGCCUGGUACUUACAGAAACCUGGAGAAGCUCCUAAACUCCUGAUUUACAGAACAAACCGCCGUCAGUCAGGAACUCCAUCUAGAUUCAGUGGCAGUGGAUCUAACAGUGAUUUCACUCUGACCAUCAGUGGAGUCCAGACUGAAGAUGCUGGACAUUAUUACUGUCAGAGUUUAUACUACCCUGCGAGCAUUCGGUGGUUCACACAGUGAUAAAGAGUCGUACAAAAACCUCCGUCAGUCAGAGUCACAGUGACUGAACUGAAACUGCAGCUGCUCAAACACACACACACACACACACACACACACACACACACACUCAACAGUGAAGAAACGACUCAAUAUGAUCUUAUUGAACAUCACUUUGUUGAGAUUCAUCAGUUUUUGACCUUUUUGAUUGUGAUUUUUCUGGAAUGACAUUUGUCUCCUGUUUCCUAUUACAUCCUUUAUGUAGAAAUUCAGUCACUUUUGAUUUUCACUUCAGUGGAUAUUUUUCAAUUCAUUCAAAACAUUUUUGAUUUUCUGCAUUUAUAAUUUAAUAUAUUAUUUUUUUAUAAACUGCACCAUCAGCAUCUUAAUAUAU
This is a non-coding RNA of Rhinichthys klamathensis goyatoka, 1081 nucleotides long. Lineage: Eukaryota; Metazoa; Chordata; Actinopteri; Cypriniformes; Leuciscidae. The record is from the annotation of a RefSeq genome assembly.